AAGUCGUAACAAGGUUUCCGUAGGUGAACCUGCGGAAGGAUCAUUACCGAGCAGAGGGCGCUCCGACGCGCCCGACCUCCCAACCCUCUGUCCGAACCGUACACCUCUGUUGCCUCGGGGCGACCCGCCGCCUCAGCGCGGGGCCCCAGGCGGACCACACAACCGAAACCCUGCAUCUCAUGCGUCGGAGUGAACAUAUGCGAAAUCAAUCAAAACUUUCAACAACGGAUCUCUUGGUUCUGGCAUCGAUGAAGAACGCAGCGAAAUGCGAUAAGUAAUGUGAAUUGCAGAAUUCAGUGAAUCAUCGAAUCUUUGAACGCACAUUGCGCCCCCUGGCAUUCCGGGGGGCAUGCCCUGUUCGAGCGUCAUUACACCACUCAAGCCUGGCUUGCGUAUUGGGCGUACGGGAUGCACCCGCGCCUCUAAUGUUCAUGUUCCGGCUGGACGGACCGUAAUCCUCAGCGUUGUGGCACACAAGCUCGCUGCGGGGCGGCCCGGCCGCGCCGUCAAAACACCCACUCAAGGUUGACCUCGGAUCGGGUAGGGAUACCCGCUGAACUUAA
Molecule: ribosomal RNA, 563 nt
Filed under: uncultured fungus
Lineage: Eukaryota; Fungi
Description: eukaryotic LSU rRNA
Rfam family: 5.8S ribosomal RNA (bases 214-368)
Source: RNAcentral